Molecule: microRNA precursor, 66 nt
Filed under: Spodoptera frugiperda (fall armyworm)
Lineage: Eukaryota; Metazoa; Arthropoda; Insecta; Lepidoptera; Noctuidae
Description: microRNA sfr-mir-10508b precursor
Source: miRBase by way of RNAcentral
AACAGCAUUUCGUGACACACACAGUAGCAGCACGACAAUCGCCGCGUCGUGUGUCGCGGAAUGCUG